GCGAAGUUGGUUCUGUCAAUUAAAUGUACAUUUCAAAAGUCCAAAAAUUGGAAGUGAGAUGAGAUGGAGCUUGUAGUGCUGCUCUUGACUCCUUUUGUUGACCAGUAGUUUGAAGGGACAGGGUAGCAGAAUUUCAGUAACAGAAUUCUCAUGUCUAAUCUCCAAUUUUGUGGGUGGGAAGAAGAGGUCCUGGAGGACACAGCAACUUGCUGAUCUAUGUUUUUUGGUUGGUGUUAAAGAAGAUGGGUUACAAAUGGAGAGAAUGAACCUCUGAGUAUACUGAAGAUAAUAGGAACCAUGUUUCUCUUGUUGAAGAGAGGAGACUAUGGAGAGAAGGAAGACUAGAGCAAACCUUAUAGCAGUGGAUUGCAAUUGAAGAGUUGAUUUGGCAAAAUCCGUCAAGACUGGAGGCUAAAUAGCUAUGAUGAAAACUUCUUUCACUCAAGCAACUGUAGAGUCUAGGCUUCAAUUUACCUCCCUGACGUAGUGCAAAGGGACAACGGAAACAAUGAGAAGUUGGCAAGACUUAG
Talpa occidentalis (Iberian mole) is the source of this 530-nucleotide long non-coding RNA. RefSeq lists it as uncharacterized. NCBI's taxonomy places the organism in Eukaryota, Metazoa, Chordata, Mammalia, Eulipotyphla, Talpidae. The transcript has 3 exons. The record is from RefSeq and is a predicted model, not a curated record.